Molecule: long non-coding RNA, 1960 nt
Filed under: Triticum aestivum (bread wheat)
Lineage: Eukaryota; Viridiplantae; Streptophyta; Magnoliopsida; Poales; Poaceae
Description: long non-coding RNA (TAES_LNC013238)
Source: RNAcentral
AGCGGGAUAAGCAUGGGCUGUUGGUCCAACGCUGAAGUGCUUAGCUAUUAAAACUUCAGGAAUAAAACGAGAAUAUACACUAUUGUCAAACAUGACCACGUUCUUUAGGAUUCCAGCAACCAAUAAUACCUGCUAGCUGAGUGCAGGAUAAAGUACCAGAGUCAUUUUACAGGAAAUGACAUGCAGAAUUGUGGAAAUUUGAUUGCGGAGAAUAGUAUGUAGUGACUUGAGCUGGUCAAUGGCACUCAAGUCAAGAAACUAUCAUUCUCUUUUACCUUCCUUAGAAAGGCAGCUCCAGAGUAUCCUUCUCUUUUCCACUGCUGAAUUUUUCUCUCAGUUAGGAGAUAUAUAGGCCAUGAUCCUUGAGAAAAGUAUCUAUUGGAUUCUCCGUCAACAAACAGCACCAACAAAGAUUAGGCAAUGCCAAGUUUAACACCAAGAGAGGGAAGAACUGCAAAUUACAACAGAAACUUAAGUUAAAAAAUAAGUAAAGAUCUCAAUACGAUCACAUUUAAUUGUCAUCUAAAUAAAGUACUACUUCAGUAUCAUCAUCUGAGUAUUAUGUGAUCAUGAAACAAUCAAAUAAGUGGAUGUGGGUGGCACACGCCCAGAACAGUAGGUUGCUGUUAGAGAAACAAUAAAAAGACAGAAGAAGGAAACAGAGAGUACACUAACAGUGAGGAAGUGGAUAGGGCAACCUAGGGUGGGAUGAAGGGUUGAGCCACAACCACUUAUAUUCAGGCUAAAUGCCAUGAAACAAAAUUCUGGGAUUAUGUUAGGCAUGGAUGGCAGAUCAGGACAUGUCAGAAACUAACAAAGGUCAAAGGGGAAAUUCUGGUGAUGUUUGAGAAAUUAAGCAUAAAAUAUGGUAUUAUUUUUAUAUUAUUUCAUUCCCCCCUAGCUUCCAAUGCUUUGUGAACUACAAAAGAGAAUAUACAAUUGAAGAACGUGAGCAAGAGUAGAUAGCUUAAGACAAACAUAUACGUUGUGUGCCUGAGUGCCUCUCUAUUUUGGUUCUCUGCAAACUCCUCGUAGUAUGACCAUGAUGCGCCAACUUUCAAACUUUCACAUAUCAAGUGAGUUUUUCAUCAGCACAAUUUCAUUUAUGACUAAAAAGGUAUAAAGCAAUUGUGGUUUUUCGAUAUCAAAUCAAAAUUUUCCAUUAUAAUUCCCAAGGAUUUGAAGAUUUUUUUAAUGGUUUAUAAUGCAUAACAAGCAGGACGAGAAUAAGGAAGUGCACAAGAAAAAAAGAAACAUUUAAACGUGUUUAGAGGAUAGAACCGGGUUGCAUAUGUGCUCGAUAGCAAAGAAGAAGGUCCACUUUGCUGAAAAGAAACAUGGCACUGACAAGUCAGGGCAAAAGACCAACUAAUGGGAGGGAUGAGGAGAACCGUCAGUAUUCUGGUCUCCUAACAUAUGAUAAAAACAAGCAAUGGAAUAACUCCAUUUCCUGGCACCAGGAAAUCCAUAUAUUGUUCAUUCUGAUACCUUUCCUCUGUUCAAAGCAGGUUUGGCCACUACUAGACGUCAAAAGCCCGGUCAUUGUUUUCCUCUCAUCCAGAAAAAGUAUUUAAAAUGUGUUCCUUUUGCUCCGGAAUUAAACGCAGAAUGAUGGUGAGUAGAAACAUAUUCUUCGGACUGUUUUACUACACAAACUUAACUCCAUUGCUUUUCUGUAAGUAAGUAUAACCUACUUCCACCGCAAUAUGAAAAACACUGCAAUCCACGACGCUUUGAUUCUACCACAGUGGGUGAUCACUAGUGAAAAUCUGCCAUACAAUGUACACAUGUGCAAGAAUCCGGUGGAUCUGUAUCACCAGUAGCAACGGAUGUUUUUACCAUUGCCACGUCCACUCGAGAAACGAUGGCCGAGCAAACACGGGAAAUAAUACGUGCACAAACCUCCAAAUUCGUAGUGGCGCCUUUCAAGAAUCUACCGAUCCUCAGAAAUCUGUGUGGG